RNAcentral lists this ribosomal RNA (451 nucleotides) under uncultured bacterium. Its description in RNAcentral is "bacterial SSU rRNA". It matches the Rfam family "Bacterial small subunit ribosomal RNA", at positions 8 to 507 of the family's 1533-position model. The record is from RNAcentral.
AGAGUUUGAUCAUGGCUCAGAACGAACGCUGGCGGCAUGCCUAACACAUGCAAGUCGAACGAGACCUUCGGGUCUAGUGGCGCACGGGUGCGUAACGCGUGGGGAUCUGCCCUUUGCUUCGGAAUAACAGUUAGAAAUGACUGCUAAUACCGGAUGAUGUCGUAAGACCAAAGAUUUAUCGGCAAAGGAUGAACCCGCGUAGGAUUAGCUAGUUGGUGGGUAAAGGCCUACCAAGGCGACGAUCCUUAGCUGGUCUGAGAGGAUGAUCAGCCACACUGGGACUGAGACACGGCCCAGACUCCUACGGGAGGCAGCAGUGGGGAAUAUUGGACAAUGGGCGAAAGCCUGAUCCAGCAAUGCCGCGUGAGUGAUGAAGGCCUUCGGGUUGUAAAGCUCUUUACCAGGGAUGAUAAUGACAGUACCUGGAGAAUAAGCUCCGGCUAACUCCGUG